GGCGAACGGGUGAGUAACACGUGGGCAACCUGCCCUCAGCUCUGGGACAACUCCGGGAAACCGGGGCUAAUACCGGAUACGACCGCUUCCUGCAUGGGAUGGUGGUGGAAAGAUUUAUCGGCUGGGGAUGGGCCCGCGGCCUAUCAGCUUGUUGGUGGGGUGAUGGCCUACCAAGGCGACGACGGGUAGCCGGCCUGAGAGGGCGACCGGCCACACUGGGACUGAGACACGGCCCAGACUCCUACGGGAGGCAGCAGUGGGGAAUAUUGCGCAAUGGGCGGAAGCCUGACGCAGCGACGCCGCGUGAGGGAUGAAGGCCUUCGGGUUGUAAACCUCUUUCAGCAGGGACGAAGCGGGAGUGACCGGUACCUGCAGAAGAAGCACCGGACAACUACGUGCCAGCCGCCGCGG
RNAcentral lists this ribosomal RNA (411 nucleotides) under uncultured bacterium. RNAcentral describes it as "bacterial SSU rRNA". It matches the Rfam family "Bacterial small subunit ribosomal RNA", at positions 97 to 520 of the family's 1533-position model. The record is from RNAcentral.